GUCGGGGUAGUGCAGUGGUUAGCACAUCAGUCUCACAACAUUAGUUGAGUCCACUGGGGGUCCUGGGUUCGAAUCCCGGUCUCGACA
Molecule: non-coding RNA, 87 nt
Organism: Xylariaceae sp. FL0804
Lineage: Eukaryota; Fungi; Ascomycota; Sordariomycetes; Xylariales; Xylariaceae
Source: the annotation of a GenBank genome assembly